RNAcentral lists this ribosomal RNA (414 nucleotides) under uncultured microorganism. RNAcentral's name for it is "bacterial SSU rRNA". It matches the Rfam family "Archaeal small subunit ribosomal RNA", at positions 459 to 872 of the family's 1478-position model. The record is from RNAcentral.
CAGCAGCCGCGGUAAUACCGGCGGCCCGAGUGGCGGUCACUAUUAUUGGGCUUAAAGCGUCCGGAGCCGGGUUGGGAAGUCCUCCGGGAAAUCUGGCCGCUUAACGGUCCGAAUGCCGGAGGAUACUCCCAGCCUAGGGAGCGGGAGAGGCCGAGGGGAUUCCCGGAGGAGGGGGGAAAUCCUAUAAUCCCGGGAGGACCACCUGUGGCGAAGGCGCUCGGCUGGAACGCGUCCGACGGUGAGGGACGAAGGCCAGGGGAGCAAACCGGAUUAGAUACCCGGGUAGUCCUGGCUGUAAACGAUGCGGACUUUGUGUCGGACAAGCUAUGAGCUUGUCCGGUGCCGGAGGGAAACCGUUAAGUCCGCCGCCUGGGGAGUACGGCCGCAAGGCUGAAACUUAAAGGAAUUGGCGGG